RNAcentral lists this ribosomal RNA (119 nucleotides) under Triticum aestivum (bread wheat). Lineage: Eukaryota; Viridiplantae; Streptophyta; Magnoliopsida; Poales; Poaceae. The record is from RNAcentral.
GGAUGCGAUAAUACUAGCACUAAAGCACCGGAUCCCAUCAGAACUCCGAAGUUAAGCGUGCUUGGGCGAGAGUAGUACUAGGAUGGGUGACCUCCUGGGAAGUCCUCGUGUUGCAUUCC